This 1010-nucleotide long non-coding RNA is filed under the name Ananas comosus (pineapple). RNAcentral describes it as "long non-coding RNA (ACOM_LNC006010)". Lineage: Eukaryota; Viridiplantae; Streptophyta; Magnoliopsida; Poales; Bromeliaceae. The record is from RNAcentral.
CUUUACUUUUUUAUAAAUUAACCCUUUAGAAUUUUAAAAUUUACGAAAUAAUCCUUCCAAAAUUAUAUUUGUAAAACUAAUUCUUCUUUCGCCACGUAGGGACAGGGACGAAUUUUUUUCAUAAAGGCAGUGAAUCGUUUACCGACACAUAGUCUUUUGCUUACUUAAAAAUUUUUUCUAUAUCCCAUAUAUAAUCUUAACAACAAUAUAAAAAUUAUAACAAAUCACAUAUAAUUUUAAUAAUCUAAAAAUCCUAAUAAUCUAUCCAUAUAAUUCUAACAAUCAAAUAAAAAUUCUAAUAAUUCACGUAUAAUUCCAAAAAUCUCUUUUUUUUUAUUUUUCAUCUAACUACCUCACAUUUUCCUGUACGUGGAUUAUAUGGGAAAUAGAAAUACGUGGAUUAUAUGAGAAAUAAAAAAAAAAAAGGUUGUUAGGAUUAUAUGUGAAUUAUAUGAAAAAUAGAAAAAAGUGAGGUUGUUAGAUGUAAAAUAGAAAAAAAGAGGGUUGUUAGGAUUAUACGUGAAUUAUAUGAAAAAUAGAAAAAAGUGAGGUUGUUAGAGGUAAAUAGGAAAAAGUGAGGUUUUUAGUAUGCGUAGAUUAUUAUAAUUUUUAUUUGAUUGUUAGAAUUAUAUGCAUAGAUUAUCAGAAUUUUCAGGUCAUUAAGAUUAUAAUAUGUGAUUUGUUGUAAUUUUUAUGUUAGAAUUGUAUGGAUAGAUUAUUAGGAUUUUCAGGUUGUUAAGAUUAUAUGUGAUUUGUUGUAAUUUUUAUGUUAGAAUUGUAUGGAUAGAUUAUUAGGAUUUUCAGGUUGUUAAGAUUAUAUGUGAUUUGUUGUAAUUUUUAUGUUAGAAUUGUAUGGAUAGAUUAUUAAGAUUUUCAGGUUGUUAAGAUUAUAUGUGAUUUGUUGUAAUUUUUAUGUGGUUGUUAAUAUUAUAUAUGGGAUAUAGAAAAAACAGUAAAGAAGCAAAAGAUGGUAAACCAUUCUUCACUGCCUUCAUAAAAAAUUUCCGCCC